This 406-nucleotide long non-coding RNA is filed under the name Physcomitrium patens. Its description in RNAcentral is "long non-coding RNA (PPAT_LNC001500)". The record is from RNAcentral. Lineage: Eukaryota; Viridiplantae; Streptophyta; Bryopsida; Funariales; Funariaceae.
AAGAAGGAUAGAAAUAGGAUGCGAGUAAACCAGUGGCAGCUUCUUGGACACCGCAAACUACACUUUUGUUACACCGACAGAAAACUUCCUAAAAUAUCUCAGGCAGGUGGUACACUUGCCAGACACCCUCACGAGUGCUCAUACAUGUGAAUCCCACACUGCCGACCCCACACUCUUAGCUAGGCCCAAUCACUUCCCCCCCAGAGUUGGGAAUUGUGCUUGGUCUUCGAUCUUGGGGGCAGACGCACCUCCUGGAGCUGAUCCACGACCACCACCGAACCUUCCACGGCCAGAGUCUCGGUCUCCACGGCCGGCACCUUCGCGGCGGUCACCGCCCUCACGGCGAUCUCCACGGCCACCCCGACCUCCACGGCCACGGUUAGAAGGAUAGUAAGACUUCUCUCCU